This 789-nucleotide ribosomal RNA is filed under the name Triticum aestivum (bread wheat). RNAcentral's name for it is "partial small subunit ribosomal RNA". Lineage: Eukaryota; Viridiplantae; Streptophyta; Magnoliopsida; Poales; Poaceae. The record is from RNAcentral.
AUGCCCUACGGCCUCAAUUCUGCCUUCUCUCCCAACUGUGUGCAUGAAUUUACUUCUCCUUAUUCGGGGCCCUAUAGUUCUCAUUAUUACACAGGUCUAGACAGACCCGAGAUUCCAAAGAAGUGUUGCCAAAAAUAUUUCCAGCUGUGUCAAACUCCACAAGCUUCCUGGAAAGAUUAUGCGACCAUGUAUUUUACUGGUCAGGCUAACAUGUGGUUACCCUCUAUAGAGUUCAAAAUAGAUAAAAUGGAGUGGAAAGAGUUAUGUGAAUUUGUGUGUCAUAGGUUUGGGAAAUUGCAGUUUCAAGCUAUGAUACGGCGACUGACUCAUGUCAAACAAGCUGGAAGUGUCCAAGAGUACAUUGAGAAUUUUAACACUUUGAUGCACCAAAUGUUAGCUCACAAUCCUCAAUUAGACCCAGAGAUUUUCACCACCACUUUCAUAGAUGGGUUAAAACCUCCAAUUUGUAGUGUUGUUCUUAUACAAAGGCCACCAGAUUUGGAUAUAGCUGGUUCUCUGGCCCUUUUGCAGGAAGAGGUGCUUGAAGACUGUCGUGUGGUUGAUCACCCACAUUUUGAAUCCAGCGGCUCAACUUACAGCCAUGUAACUCCGAAGACUGCUUUUCCUUCUGUUCCAAUAGUGAGUAAUCGAGCAGUUCAGCCCAAUGUUAUGGCUGACAAGCGUGGUGGAGAGGCUAUUAAAUCUCAGUCUAUUUCAGGAAGCAAGUUGAAUACUCUCAGAGCUUAUAGAAGUGCUCGGGGUCUGUGUUUUACAUGUGGAGAAAAAUGA